Molecule: ribosomal RNA, 253 nt
Filed under: uncultured bacterium
Lineage: Bacteria
Description: partial 16S ribosomal RNA
Rfam family: Bacterial small subunit ribosomal RNA
Source: RNAcentral
UACGUAGGGGGCAAGCGUUGUCCGGAGUUACUGGGCGUAAAGCGCACGCAGGCGGUCUGUUAAGUUUGGAGUGGCAGUUGGUGGCUUAACUGCCAAAGUGCUUCGAAAACUGAUCGACUUGAGGGCUUCAGAGGGACACGGAAUUCCGGGUGGAGUGGUGAAAUGCGUAGAGAUCCGGAGGAACACCGAAGGCGAAGGCAGUGUCCUGGGGAGUACCUGACGCUCAGGUGCGAAAGCCAGGGGAGCGAACGGG